CAGCCGCCGCGGUAAUACAGAGGGUGCGAGCGUUAAUCGGAUUUACUGGGCGUAAAGCGUGCGUAGGCGGCUUCUUAAGUCGGAUGUGAAAUCCCUGAGCUUAACUUAGGAAUUGCAUUCGAUACUGGGAAGCUAGAGUAUGGGAGAGGAUGGUAGAAUUCCAGGUGUAGCGGUGAAAUGCGUAGAGAUCUGGAGGAAUACCGAUGGCGAAGGCAGCCAUCUGGCCUAAUACUGACGCUGAGGUACGAAAGCAUGGGGAGCAAACAGGAUUAGAUACCCCGGUAGUCCUGUCUCUUAUACA
Molecule: ribosomal RNA, 301 nt
Filed under: uncultured bacterium
Lineage: Bacteria
Description: partial 16S ribosomal RNA
Rfam family: Bacterial small subunit ribosomal RNA
Source: RNAcentral